GAUGAAGAACGUAGCAAAAUGCGAUAAGUAAUGUGAAUUGCAGAAUUCAGUGAAUCAUCGAAUCUUUGAACGCACAUUGCGCCCGCCAGUAUUCCGGCGGGCAUGCCUGUUCGAGCGUCAUUUCAACCCUCAAGCCCUCGGGUUUGGUGUUGGGGAUCGGCGAGCCUUUCUGGCAAGCCGGCCCCGAAAUCUAGUGGCGGUCUCGCUGCAGCCUCCAUUGCGUAGUAGUAAAACCCUCGCAACUGGAACGCGGCGCGGCCAAGCCGUUAAACCCCCAACUUCUGAAUGUUGACCUCGGAUCAGGUAGGAAUACCCGCUGAACUUAAGCAUAUCAAUAAGCGAAGGA
This 346-nucleotide unclassified non-coding RNA is filed under the name soil metagenome. Its description in RNAcentral is "partial contains 5.8S ribosomal RNA, internal transcribed spacer 2, and large subunit ribosomal RNA". The stretch from base 1 to 120 matches the Rfam family "5.8S ribosomal RNA", at positions 35 to 154 of the family's 154-position model. The record is from RNAcentral.